This is a non-coding RNA of 188 nucleotides. It matches the Rfam family "6S / SsrS RNA". Rfam says of the family: E. coli 6S RNA was the first non coding RNA to be sequenced, but its function was unknown until recently. It consists of 184 nucleotides that fold into an extended hairpin structure with a large single-stranded internal bulge. The record is from Rfam.
AGAGUCCUGAUGUGUUCGUUGUUUAACCUGAAGUUUUGACCUAACAUCUAUCCUUCGGGAGUUCGCGUUUCCAGGCCGCGUAAAUGCCUCUGGCUAGAGGACUUACAGAAACCCGGAACAGGGCACCCACCUGCUGAGAGCGGGUUCAAGACGAAGGCAACCAACACGACGGCACGAUUGGGACUCUU